Molecule: ribosomal RNA, 215 nt
Filed under: Campeiostachys nutans
Lineage: Eukaryota; Viridiplantae; Streptophyta; Magnoliopsida; Poales; Poaceae
Description: Elymus nutans partial small subunit ribosomal RNA
Rfam family: Eukaryotic small subunit ribosomal RNA (bases 37-215)
Source: RNAcentral
GGAUCAAUUUAUUGGUCGUGCUAUUGUACGUACUGGUAUUAUUGAUUCCUACCUUCUGACGAACCAUGAUGCCAUUAAUUUGGUGUUGCGGGGAAUUUGGACUGUUACUUUGAAAAAAUUAGAGUGUUUAAAGCAAGCUAACGCUUGAAUACAUUAGCAUGGAAUAAUGAAAUAGGACGUUCGAUCCUAUUUUGUUGGUUUCUAGGAUUGACGUA